UGUGCGAGUUUGCAACCCGAUGAACCGGAAAGGUUAUGUUUACUACGCCUGGCUCAAGUCUCUGCCUCAGUCUUCCUGGGGAGUACAUGCUGGUUCCAGCGUAUGGCAUGGCCGAGGAAGAAGUUCUGGAUCCAACUGCCCAAUGUACCAUUGUGGUCCAAAAGAGCUUUGAACUGGAGCCUGGAAUGUGGCCCCAGAUGGUGGCCUAAGGGAUCCAGACCUGGUCUCUGAACACCUUCACCUGUACAGAGCCUGAACCUGCGGUUCAGAAAGACAAGAAGGAAGAAAGGAAGGGCCAGAUUUCAGUUGCAACACUGAGUGCUUCCACAGCACCGCUGGUGGACAAACCUCUCUCUGGCUAGCACCUGCAGCAGGAUUGACUCCCAUGGACCUGACAGAGUGAGCUCUGGGUCCUUGGUCAACUCUGGGAGGAAGGAAGAAGUCUUCGGAUGGAGGCACUAGACUUCUUGCUAAUAAGGACAUGUAGGAGUUCUAGCAAUUCACUAGAAUAAUUAGAGGCCCUGACUAUAUGUGUUAGUUGAAGCAUAUCAAACUAGCUACCAGUUCUCUUGCCUCAUUUAGAGUCCCAAGAGUGACCCAGAAAUUCCAUUCAUAUAUAUUUAUCCCAGAGAAGCAAAAAUACAUGCCCAUCCAAAAACAUGAAAGUUCAUAGCAGCAUUAUUCACAGUAGCCAAAAGGUGAAAGCAACCUACAUUACCUACCAAUAGAAGGGUGGCUAAAUAAACUAUAGUAUAUUAUACAAUAGCUAUUAUUUAUCAAUCAAAACAAAGGAGGGACUGAACAUGUUACAAUAUAUAUAUGAACCUUGAAAUUGAGAGUUAAACGAAAGAAGCCAAUCACAGAUGUAUUACAAUCAGAUGUGUUACAUGAGUCAUUUAUUUAUUUCCUUUGUAUACUCCUUUGUAUGCUUUAAGGUAAUUUGACAUUAAUUCAUCACAUACCGGAUUUUGCAAUAAACCUUC
This 983-nucleotide long non-coding RNA is filed under the name Marmota monax (woodchuck). The record is from RNAcentral. Lineage: Eukaryota; Metazoa; Chordata; Mammalia; Rodentia; Sciuridae.